RNAcentral lists this ribosomal RNA (1227 nucleotides) under Escherichia coli. RNAcentral describes it as "partial 23S ribosomal RNA". It matches the Rfam family "Bacterial large subunit ribosomal RNA", at positions 1 to 1268 of the family's 2925-position model. Lineage: Bacteria; Pseudomonadati; Pseudomonadota; Gammaproteobacteria; Enterobacterales; Enterobacteriaceae. The record is from RNAcentral.
GUUAAGCGACUAAGCGUACACGGUGGAUGCCCUGGCAGUCAGAGGCGAUGAAGGACGUGCUAAUCUGCGAUAAGCGUCGGUAAGGUGAUAUGAACCGUUAUAACCGGCGAUUUCCGAAUGGGGAAACCCAGUGUGUUUCGACACACUAUCAUUAACUGAAUCCAUAGGUUAAUGAGGCGAACCGGGGGAACUGAAACAUCUAAGUACCCCGAGGAAAAGAAAUCAACCGAGAUUCCCCCAGUAGCGGCGAGCGAACGGGGAGCAGCCCAGAGCCUGAAUCAGUGUGUGUGUUAGUGGAAGCGUCUGGAAAGGCGCGCGAUACAGGGUGACAGCCCCGUACACAAAAAUGCACAUGCUGUGAGCUCGAUGAGUAGGGCGGGACACGUGGUAUCCUGUCUGAAUAUGGGGGGACCAUCCUCCAAGGCUAAAUACUCCUGACUGACCGAUAGUGAACCAGUACCGUGAGGGAAAGGCGAAAAGAACCCCGGCGAGGGGAGUGAAAAAGAACCUGAAACCGUGUACGUACAAGCAGUGGGAGCACGCUUAGGCGUGUGACUGCGUACCUUUUGUAUAAUGGGUCAGCGACUUAUAUUCUGUAGCAAGGUUAACCGAAUAGGGGAGCCGAAGGGAAACCGAGUCUUAACUGGGCGUUAAGUUGCAGGGUAUAGACCCGAAACCCGGUGAUCUAGCCAUGGGCAGGUUGAAGGUUGGGUAACACUAACUGGAGGACCGAACCGACUAAUGUUGAAAAAUUAGCGGAUGACUUGUGGCUGGGGGUGAAAGGCCAAUCAAACCGGGAGAUAGCUGGUUCUCCCCGAAAGCUAUUUAGGUAGCGCCUCGUGAAUUCAUCUCCGGGGGUAGAGCACUGUUUCGGCAAGGGGGUCAUCCCGACUUACCAACCCGAUGCAAACUGCGAAUACCGGAGAAUGUUAUCACGGGAGACACACGGCGGGUGCUAACGUCCGUCGUGAAGAGGGAAACAACCCAGACCGCCAGCUAAGGUCCCAAAGUCAUGGUUAAGUGGGAAACGAUGUGGGAAGGCCCAGACAGCCAGGAUGUUGGCUUAGAAGCAGCCAUCAUUUAAAGAAAGCGUAAUAGCUCACUGGUCGAGUCGGCCUGCGCGGAAGAUGUAACGGGGCUAAACCAUGCACCGAAGCUGCGGCAGCGACGCUUAUGCGUUGUUGGGUAGGGGAGCGUUCUGUAAGCCUGUGAAGGUGUGCUGUGAGG